RNAcentral lists this long non-coding RNA (277 nucleotides) under Anser brachyrhynchus (Pink-footed goose). RNAcentral's name for it is "lncRNA (ENSABRG00000008081.1)". Lineage: Eukaryota; Metazoa; Chordata; Aves; Anseriformes; Anatidae. The record is from RNAcentral.
AUUAAUAGUAAUAUCUAGGCAAAAAUAAUCAGAAACUGAUUUUGGUUGUUGUUGUUUUCCUUUCAGUUUCAAUGGGAACUUCAGAACUGUUUGCUCACUGAAUUCUUCCAACCUGUGUUGAAGUAAAGCAAGUUCAGAUUAUCAUCUUCCACAUUUUUCAACAUCCUACCCAGUUAACAUGACACUAUUUUGACUGGCUACACCCCUGUCUGCCUUCCAGUAGCUGAAUCUUUGACACAAUAUCAUCGUCUUUGUCCCAUCUGGAAGAAUAGGAACG